This 206-nucleotide ribosomal RNA is filed under the name Cronobacter malonaticus. RNAcentral's name for it is "partial 16S ribosomal RNA". It matches the Rfam family "Bacterial small subunit ribosomal RNA", at positions 389 to 587 of the family's 1533-position model. Lineage: Bacteria; Pseudomonadati; Pseudomonadota; Gammaproteobacteria; Enterobacterales; Enterobacteriaceae. The record is from RNAcentral.
CAGCCAUGCCGCGUGUAUGAAGAAGGCCUUCGGGUUGUAAAGUACUUUCAGCGGGGAGGAAGGCGUUGAGGUUAAUAACCUCAACGAUUGACGUUACCCACAGAAGAAGCACCGGCUAACUCCGUGCCAGCAGCCGCGGUAAUACGGAGGGUGCAAGCGUUAAUCGGAAUUACUGGGCGUAAAGCGCACGCAGGCGGUCUGUUAAG